UCGAAUAGAGGUUAAAACAGGUAAUACUUGGAACGAUACAGAGAAGAUUAGCAUGGCCCCUGCGGAAGUAUGACACACACCAAUCGAGAAAUGAUCCAGAUUUUU
Molecule: small nuclear RNA, 105 nt
Organism: Cucurbita pepo subsp. pepo (vegetable marrow)
Lineage: Eukaryota; Viridiplantae; Streptophyta; Magnoliopsida; Cucurbitales; Cucurbitaceae
Source: RefSeq, a predicted model, not a curated record